CAAUACGGUGUUCGCUCUCUCCUCUCUCACACACGUUCUAGACGAAUCCAGAGAAAAAAUGAAUCUUCUCUCUCUGAUUUCCCCUUUGGCAAGCACAAAUUCUCCAAUGAAAGAGGAGCAGGAACAUCGAUUCGCCUUCAGAUUAAAUCAGUGUUUGUUUGUGAUAAACAGUGUGAGAAGAAUUGAUCAAGUGUAUUGUAAUUAGGGUUUAGUUGUUCGGUUUAGGGUUGGGUUCAGAUGUUGAUGUCUGGAUAUUUGUCGAUGAAGAGGAAGAGGAAGGACCUCGAAGAGGUCAACGACGACUUCUCCGACUCCUCUCCCGCCAGAAAAAUCCGUAGAUUGUACUCUCUAUCUCUUUCCGUUCUCUGUAUACGAUUGGGUAUAUAUAUGCAUAUGUUUUUGCAGUACACUCUGUUUAAUUUUUUUUUUGGGUGACAUUUUCGAAACUUGAGUUCUGUUUUCUUUUUGGAAAUGAAGUCUCUUUUUUUUUUUAAAUAGAAGAUUAAAAAAAUAUUUUCAAACUCUCUAAAGUUGUUUUCGAAACCAAUGAGUUUGCAUUUUCAAAAACAGUUUUUGAAAAUUGUUGUGCAAAUGUACUUUCAUGAUUUCAGCUAUUUGAUUGGGCAAAAUUACGGAUUUUCUGCUAUUUUCUCAUUAAUCCUAAGGAAACUGUGACUGCUAUUCGCUUACUUAGAAAGAAAUUGUAAUGCUAUUCGAGAAAUUAAAUUCCAUAAGUUUCCUCGGGAAUCAAACACAUUAUCACUAUUUAUAUUAACUCUCUGUCUCUCUCUCGGCGGUCUGAUCAAAUGGAUUCGGCCAAAUUUGGGUGACUUUUUUUUAAGCUGAUUUAGCUACUUUGGUUUUGAAUUUUUUGGUCUUUAUUAAACAUUUUUAACAGUUUGAUCAAAAUUUUAUACUUUUCCAAUUUAUUUUUUAUGAGAGGAAUCUGAAAAUAUAAUUUUUUUGUUCAAAUUUAGUUUAUUUGUUGAGUAAAAAUGAUUUUUUUGUCUAUAGUAAUUUUUGUUUCAAAUUAGAUGAAAUUUUUUACAUUUUGAUAUUCCUCUCUUAAGAGAAAUAAUUGGAAAAGUAUAUCUUUGAUUAAACAGUGAAAAAAAAGUGAUGAAAAACCAGAAAACGAAAACAGCUAAAUUAUCUAAAAGAAGGCUAGCGCAAAGUUGCUGAAAGCCUAGGAUUCUAUGUUCUCUUUUUCACCCGACUACACAAUGAAAAUUGUUACUGCUAUUUACUUACUGAAACAAAAGACAAAUUUGCUGCGAAAUCAAUCACUUUCUAGCUAAUCAUGUUCAAGCACUCUCUCUCUCUCUCUCUCUCUCUCUCCUCAUCUGAUCAAAUGGCUUGACUCCAUGUCAGGAUGCUGAAUUGCCUCCUAUAAUAGAAGAGGAAGAGACAGAGAUUCAGUGGGUUUUCAAUCAACAGGUGAUGCCUGAAGAGCAUCUUCCAAGCAAUAGAGAACAAGUAGGAGGUUAUGGUCCAAUAAUAGAGG
This 1504-nucleotide long non-coding RNA is filed under the name Actinidia chinensis (golden kiwifruit). RNAcentral describes it as "long non-coding RNA (ACHI_LNC004079)". Lineage: Eukaryota; Viridiplantae; Streptophyta; Magnoliopsida; Ericales; Actinidiaceae. The record is from RNAcentral.